Molecule: non-coding RNA, 562 nt
Organism: Pelodiscus sinensis (Chinese soft-shelled turtle)
Lineage: Eukaryota; Metazoa; Chordata; Testudines; Trionychidae
Source: RefSeq, a predicted model, not a curated record
CUGAUUCAGUGGGAGCAUUUUCACGUCUUCUCUUCAGUGCCCACAGCCUGGCAAAUGUUGUGACAUCAUUAAGCCGAACUGCUGAUUUUAGAUGGGACUGGAACAAGAACGGGCAGGGUAAAGUCUACUGUAUACUUACUAUCAAAGGAUGCACAUUGGCACAGAUGACAUAGUUCACAAUAUAAGGGGAAGUAACAUACUGAAGCAAGCAAAACAAGGGAAGAAAAGAUCCAAUUGUGACCACGGCUUGGAUUCACGUGGAGGAGAGUGAAGAGCCCUGCAACAAGUGGAGGAUGGACAAUUUCCAAGACAAGGGACAGUCUCUCGAAGAUGAUAUUUAGUGUGCACAAGAUUUCUAAGAUCAAUAGCAACAUCAAGUUAUAUUUUAAUUUCACCUUUGAGUUAUGCUAUUAUGACAACUGCAAACAAGAUGACAAGUGUGAAAUGCAGCUGCUCAAUCCAGUGUGUCAGGGCCUAUCUACACUUAAAAUGCUACAGCAAUACAGUUAUGCUGCUUCAGCUAUGCUACAGUAGUGCCUACACCGAUGGAAGGGAUUCUCUU